UACGUAGGGUGCGAGCGUUGUCCGGAAUUACUGGGCGUAAAGAGCUCGUAGGUGGUUUGUCGCGUUGUCCGUGAAAACUCACAACUCAAUUGUGGGCGUGCGGGCGAUACGGGCAGACUGGAGUACUGCAGGGGAGACUGGAAUUCCUGGUGUAGCGGUGGAAUGCGCAGAUAUCAGGAGGAACACCGGUGGCGAAGGCAGGUCUCUGGGCAUUAACUGACGCUGAGGAGCGAAAGCAUGGGGAGCGAACAGG
Molecule: ribosomal RNA, 253 nt
Filed under: uncultured bacterium
Lineage: Bacteria
Description: partial 16S ribosomal RNA
Rfam family: Bacterial small subunit ribosomal RNA
Source: RNAcentral